UAUCAAUAAGCGGAGGAAAAGAAACCAACAGGGAUUGCCUCAGUAACGGCGAGUGAAGCGGCAAAAGCCCAGAUUUGAAAUCUGGCCUUCGGGCCCGAGUUGUAAUCUGCAGAUGAGUCUUCCGGCAACGCGCCGUCCAAGUGCUCUGGAACGGGCCGCCGGAGAGGGUGAGAGCCCCGUACCGACGUGCGCCGCGCCUCUGUGAAGCUCAUUCGAAGAGUCGAGUAGUUUGGAAAUGCUGCUCUAAUUGUGGGGUAAAUCUCCCAUAAGGCUAAAUACCGGCCAGAGACCGAUAGCGCACAAGUAGCGUGAGCGAAAGAUGAAAAGAGCCUUGAACAAGGGCGUCAAAAAGCAUGUGAAAUUGUUGUGGGGGAAGCGUUCGAUGCCAGACGUGGCGGCGGUUGGUUACCCGGCGUUCUUCGCCGGCGCACUCUGCCGUCGCCAGGCCAGCAUCAGUUCGGCUCGAGGCCUACCGCCGGCGGGAAUGUGGCUCCCUUCGGGGAGUGUUAUAGCCCGUCGGUACCGUCUCGGACCGGACUGAGGACCGCGCUUCGGCUCGGAUGCUGGCGUAAUGGCUUCUAGCGACCCGUCUUGAAACACGGACCAAGGAGUUGACCUAGCCUGCGAGUGUUUGGGUGUCAAGCCCUUACGCGCAGUGAAAGCGAAUGCAGGUGGGAGCCUCGGCGCACCAUCGACCGAUCCUGAAGUUUACGGAUGGAUUUGAGUAAGAGCAUGCUGGGUCUGACCCGAAAGAAGGUGAACUAUGCAUGAAUAGGGUGAAGCCAGAGGAAACUCUGGUGGAGGCUCGCAGCGGUUCUGACGUGCAAAUCGAUCGUCAAAUUUGUGCAUGGGGGCGAAAGACCAAUCGAACCUUCUAGUAGCUGGUUCCUG
Molecule: ribosomal RNA, 891 nt
Filed under: Phaeoisaria pseudoclematidis
Lineage: Eukaryota; Fungi; Ascomycota; Sordariomycetes; Pleurotheciales; Pleurotheciaceae
Description: eukaryotic LSU rRNA
Rfam family: Eukaryotic large subunit ribosomal RNA
Source: RNAcentral